AUUGAACGCUGGCGGCAUGCCUUACACAUGCAAGUCGAACGGCAGCACGGGAGCAAUCCUGGUGGCGAGUGGCGAACGGGUGAGUAAAGUAUCGGAACGUGCCCAGUCGUGGGGGAUAACGUAGCGAAAGUUACGCUAAUACCGCAUACGAUCUAUGGAUGAAAGCGGGGGAUCGCAAGACCUCGCGCGAUUGGCGCGGCCGAUAUCCGCUUAGGUAGUUGGUGGGGUAAAGGCUCACCAAGCCGACCAUCUGUAGCUGGUCUGAGAGGACGACCAGCCACACGGGGACUGCGACACGGCCCAGACUCCGACGGGAGGCAGCAGUGGGGAAUUUUGGACAAUGGGCGCAAGCCUGAUCCAGCCAUGCCGCGUGCAGGAUGAAGGCCUUCGGGUUGUAAACUGCUUGUGUACGGAGCGAAAAGGUUUGGGCUAAUAAGCUGAGCUCAUGACGGUACCGUAAGAAUAAGCACCGGCUAACUACGUGCCAGCCGCCGCCGUAA
Molecule: ribosomal RNA, 500 nt
Filed under: uncultured bacterium
Lineage: Bacteria
Description: partial 16S ribosomal RNA
Rfam family: Bacterial small subunit ribosomal RNA
Source: RNAcentral